UGAUGCAGCGACGCCGCGUGAGGGAUGACGGCCUUCGGGUUGUAAACCUCUUUCAGCAGGGAAGAAGCGAAAGUGACGGUACCUGCAGAAGAAGCGCCGGCUAACUACGUGCCAGCAGCCGCGGUAAUACGUAGGGCGCAAGCGUUGUCCGGAAUUAUUGGGCGUAAAGAGCUCGUAGGCGGUCUGUCACGUCGGAUGUGAAAGCCCGGGGCUUAACCCCGGGUCUGCAUUCGAUACGGGCAGACUAGAGUGUGGUAGGGGAGAUCGGAAUUCCUGGUGUAGCGGUGAAAUGCGCAGAUAUCAGGAGGAACACCGGUGGCGAAGGCGGAUCUCUGGGCCAUUACUGACGCUGAGGAGCGAAAGCGUGGGGAGCGAACAGGAUUAGAUACCCUGGUAGUCCACGCCGUAAACGGUGGGAACUAGGUGUUGGCGACAUUCCACGUCGUCGGUGCCGCAGCUAACGCAUUAAGUUCCCCGCCUGGGGAGUACGGCCGCAAGGCUAAAACUCAAAGGAAUUGACGGGGGCCCGCACAAGCAGCGGAGCAUGUGGCUUAAUUCGACGCAACGCGAAGAACCUUACCAAGGCUUGACAUACACCGGAAACGGCCAGAGAUGGUCGCCCCCUUGUGGUCGGUGUACAGGUGGUGCAUGGCUGUCGUCAGCUCGUGUCGUGAGAUGUUGGGUUAAGUCCCGCAACGAGCGCAACCCUUGUUCUGUGUUGCCAGCAUGCCCUUCGGGGUGAUGGGGACUCACAGGAGACUGCCGGGGUCAACUCGGAGGAAGGUGGGGACGACGUCAAGUCAUCAUGCCCCUUAUGUCUUGGGCUGCACACGUGCUACAAUGGCCGGUACAAAGAGCUGCGAAACCGUGAGGUGGAGCGAAUCUCAAAAAGCCGGUCUCAGUUCGGAUUGGGGUCUGCAACUCGACCCCAUGAAGUCGGAGUUGCUAGUAAUCGCAGAUCAGCAUUGCUGCGGUGAAUACGUUCCCGGGCCUUGUACACACCGCCCGUCACGUCACGAAAGUCGGUAACACCCGAAGCCGGUGGCCCAACCCCUUGUGGGAGG
Molecule: ribosomal RNA, 1064 nt
Filed under: Streptomyces sp.
Lineage: Bacteria; Bacillati; Actinomycetota; Actinomycetes; Kitasatosporales; Streptomycetaceae
Description: bacterial SSU rRNA
Rfam family: Bacterial small subunit ribosomal RNA
Source: RNAcentral